RNAcentral lists this ribosomal RNA (482 nucleotides) under uncultured bacterium. RNAcentral describes it as "partial 16S ribosomal RNA". It matches the Rfam family "Bacterial small subunit ribosomal RNA", at positions 30 to 507 of the family's 1533-position model. The record is from RNAcentral.
AUUGAACGCUGGCGGCAUGCUUUACACAUGCAAGUCGAACGGUAACAGGCCGCCAAGUGCUGCCGAGUGGCGAACGGGUGAGUAAUGCAUCGGAACGUGCCCAGUCGUGGGGGAUAACUACUCGAAAGAGUAGCUAAUACCGCAUACGAUCUAUGGAUGAAAGCGGGGGACCGUAAGGCCUCGCGCGAUUGGAGCGGCCGAUGUCAGAUUAGGUAGUUGGUGGGGUAAAGGCUCACCAAGCCAACGAUCUGUAGCUGGUCUGAGAGGACAACCAGCCACACUGGGACUGAGACACGGCCCAGACUCCUACGGGAGGCAGCAGUGGGGAAUUUUGGACAAUGGGCGCAAGCCUGAUCCAGCAAUGCCGCGUGCAGGAAGAAGGCGUUCGGGUUGUAAACUGCUUUUGUACGGAACGAAACGGCUCUGGUUAAUACCCGGGGCUAAUGACGGUACCGUAAGAAUAAGCACCGGCUAACUACGUG